RNAcentral lists this ribosomal RNA (1286 nucleotides) under metagenome. Its description in RNAcentral is "bacterial SSU rRNA". It matches the Rfam family "Bacterial small subunit ribosomal RNA", at positions 243 to 1520 of the family's 1533-position model. The record is from RNAcentral.
AGCUAGUUGGUGGGGUAAAGGCUCACCAAGGCGACGAUCUGUAGCGGGUCUUAGAGGAUGAUCCGCCACACUGGAACUGAGACACGGUCCAGACUCCUACGGGAGGCAGCAGUGGGGAAUUUUGGACAAUGGGCGCAAGCCUGAUCCAGCCAUGCCGCGUGAGUGAAGAAGGCCUUCGGGUUGUAAAGCUCUUUCGGCCGGGAAAAAAUCGCUUGGGUUAAUACCCUGAGUGGAUGAUGGUACCGGAAUAAGAAGCACCGGCUAACUACGUGCCAGCAGCCGCGGUAAUACGUAGGGUGCGAGCGUUAAUCGGAAUUACUGGGCGUAAAGCGUGCGCAGGCGGUUUUGUAAGACAGGCGUGAAAUCCCCGGGCUCAACCUGGGAACUGCGUUUGUGACUGCAAGGCUAGAGUAUGGCAGAGGGGGGUGGAAUUCCACGUGUAGCAGUGAAAUGCGUAGAGAUGUGGAGGAACACCAAUGGCGAAGGCAGCCCCCUGGGCCAAUACUGACGCUCAUGCACGAAAGCGUGGGGAGCAAACAGGAUUAGAUACCCUGGUAGUCCACGCCCUAAACGAUGUCAACUAGGUGUUGGGUGGGUAAAACCAUUUGGUACCGUAGCUAACGCGUGAAGUUGACCGCCUGGGGAGUACGGCCGCAAGGUUAAAACUCAAAGGAAUUGACGGGGACCCGCACAAGCGGUGGAUGAUGUGGAUUAAUUCGAUGCAACGCGAAAAACCUUACCUACCCUUGACAUGCCAGGAACUUGCCAGAGAUGGCUUGGUGCCCGAAAGGGAGCCUGGACACAGGUGCUGCAUGGCUGUCGUCAGCUCGUGUCGUGAGAUGUUGGGUUAAGUCCCGCAACGAGCGCAACCCUUGUCGUUAAUUGCCAUCAUUUAGUUGGGCACUUUAACGAGACUGCCGGUGACAAACCGGAGGAAGGUGGGGAUGACGUCAAGUCCUCAUGGCCCUUAUGGGUAGGGCUUCACACGUCAUACAAUGGUCGGUACAAAGGGUUGCCAAGCCGCGAGGCGGAGCCAAUCCCAGAGAGCCGAUCGUAGUCCGGAUCGCAGGCUGCAACUCGCCUGCGUGAAGUCGGAAUCGCUAGUAAUCGUGGAUCAGCAUGUCACGGUGAAUACGUUCCCGGGUCUUGUACACACCGCCCGUCACACCAUGGGAGCGGGUUCUGCCAGAAGUAGGUAGCCUAACCGCAAGGAGGGCGCUUACCACGGCGGGGUUCGUGACUGGGGUGAAGUCGUAACAAGGUAGCCGUAUCGGAAGGUGCGGCUG